AUUGAACGCUGGCGGCAUGCCUUACACAUGCAAGUCGAACGGUAACAGGUCUUCGGAUGCUGACGAGUGGCGAACGGGUGAGUAAUACAUCGGAACGUGCCUAGUAGUGGGGGAUAACUACUCGAAAGAGUGGCUAAUACCGCAUGAGAUCUACGGAUGAAAGCAGGGGAUCGCAAGACCUUGUGCUACUAGAGCGGCCGAUGGCAGAUUAGGUAGUUGGUGGGAUAAAAGCUUACCAAGCCGACGAUCUGUAGCUGGUCUGAGAGGACGAUCAGCCACACUGGGACUGAGACACGGCCCAGACUCCUACGGGAGGCAGCAGUGGGGAAUUCUGGACAAUGGGCGAAAGCCUGAUCCAGCAAUGCCGCGUGCAGGAUGAAGGCCUUCGGGUUGUAAACUGCUUUAGUACGGAACGAAAAGCCCCGGGUUAAUACCCUGGGGUCAUGACGGUACCGUAAGAAUAAGCACCGGCUAACUACGUGCCAGCAGCCGCAGUAA
RNAcentral lists this ribosomal RNA (498 nucleotides) under uncultured bacterium. RNAcentral describes it as "partial 16S ribosomal RNA". It matches the Rfam family "Bacterial small subunit ribosomal RNA", at positions 30 to 523 of the family's 1533-position model. The record is from RNAcentral.